This 300-nucleotide ribosomal RNA is filed under the name uncultured Gordonia sp. Its description in RNAcentral is "bacterial SSU rRNA". It matches the Rfam family "Bacterial small subunit ribosomal RNA", at positions 496 to 795 of the family's 1533-position model. The record is from RNAcentral. Lineage: Bacteria; Bacillati; Actinomycetota; Actinomycetes; Mycobacteriales; Gordoniaceae.
UGUAACUCGGGGGCAGCAGCGGCGGUAAGGCAGAGGGUUGGAGUGUUAGGCGGAAUCACUUGGCUUAAAGCGUGUGUAGGCGGACUUGUAAGUACCUGGUGAAAUCCCACGGCUCAACCGUGGAACUGCUUGGUAUACUGCUUGGCUGGGGCCAGCUAGGGGUUACCGGAACAAACGGUGGAGCGGUGAAAUGCGUAGAUAUCGUUUGGAACGCCAAUGGUGAAAACAGGUAACUGGGGCUGUGCCGACGCUGAGACACGAAAGCCAGGGGAGCGAACGGGAUUAGAUACCCCGGUAGUC